UAGUGGGGCUACACACGUCAUACAAUGGCUGGUACAAAGGGUUGCAACCCGCAGGGGGAGCCAAUCCCAUAAAGCCAGUCGUAGUCCGGAUCGUAGUCUGCAACUCGACUACGUGAAGUCGGAAUCGCUAGUAAUCGUGGAUCAGAAUGUCACGGUGAAUACGUUCCCGGGUCUU
This 175-nucleotide ribosomal RNA is filed under the name uncultured Rhodoferax sp. RNAcentral's name for it is "partial 16S ribosomal RNA". It matches the Rfam family "Bacterial small subunit ribosomal RNA", at positions 1206 to 1382 of the family's 1533-position model. Lineage: Bacteria; Pseudomonadati; Pseudomonadota; Betaproteobacteria; Burkholderiales; Comamonadaceae. The record is from RNAcentral.